Fomes fomentarius is the source of this 85-nucleotide non-coding RNA. NCBI's taxonomy places the organism in Eukaryota, Fungi, Basidiomycota, Agaricomycetes, Polyporales, Polyporaceae. The record is from the annotation of a GenBank genome assembly.
GCCCGCCUAGCUCAAUCGGAUAGAGCGUCAGACUCUUACUAGACGGGUAAUCUGAAGGCUGCGAGUUCGACCCUCGCGGUGGGCU